AUACGGAAGGUCCGGGCGUUAUCCGGAUUUAUUGGGUUUAAAGGGAGCGCAGGCGGAGAUGCAAGCGUGACGUCAAAUUUCGGGGCUCAACCCCGUCUCGCGUCGCGAACUGCGUCCCUUGGUUGCGGGAAGGGGAGGCGGAACUCGUGGUGUAGCGGUGAAAUGCAUAGAUAUCACGAAGAACUCCGAUCGCGAAGGCCGCCUUCCGGCCCGUCAACGACGCUCAUGCUCGAAGGUGCGGGUAUCAAACAGGAUUAGAGAUCCUGGUAGUCCUCACAGUAAACGAUGGACACCCGCGGUUUGGCCUAUAUGGCUGAGCCGCCAAGCGAAAGCGUUAAGUGUCCCACCUGGGGAGUACGCCGGCAACGGUGAAACUCAAAUGAAUUGACGGGG
This 393-nucleotide ribosomal RNA is filed under the name uncultured bacterium. Its description in RNAcentral is "partial 16S ribosomal RNA". It matches the Rfam family "Bacterial small subunit ribosomal RNA", at positions 523 to 918 of the family's 1533-position model. The record is from RNAcentral.